Long non-coding RNA from Penaeus chinensis, 707 nucleotides. RefSeq lists it as uncharacterized. The transcript has 3 exons. The record is from RefSeq and is a predicted model, not a curated record. Lineage: Eukaryota; Metazoa; Arthropoda; Malacostraca; Decapoda; Penaeidae.
UCCCUCUCCCCUAUCCCUUUGAGUCAUUAAGUCUUUGAGUCGGAUGGGAGUCAAGGAAGCAACAUUUGCCAGAUUGAGGGAGUUUAACCAAAUUUUAGGGAAAUGAAAAGUUAGCACGAAUAACUAAAAGAAUGCAUAUAUUUCUUUUAUGAUUGCCAAAUAUCAUGAUUUUAUGUCCCGUUUGAUGAAAUAGCACGUCCGGAUAUCCUUGGUAAAGUGUAACUUGUUUCAAAUUCCCGAAAUUACUAGCUUUGAUUGGGGAAGUCCAGAGUUGCCAAACAGUCUUUUGAGAGUAUAAAAGGCGAGGCCAUCGCAGCCACGCCACAGUCAUCUCUUGCAUUCGUUCCUGCAACAUCUCAAUCAUGGUUUCUCGCGUCGUGUUGGUUGUGCUGGUGGUGGUCGUCCUAGCGGCCGCAGCAGUGGCUCUCCCUGACCCCACGAAACGGCACUUGGGAUACGGCUUGUACGGAGGAUACGGAGGAUACGGCCUCGGAGGAUUUGGCUUGGGAGGCUACGGAGGCUACGGAGGAUACGGCUAUGGAUCCCACUAUCCCUAUUACGGAUCCUACUAUGGAUAGAGUAAACAUCUUUAGUGUCACAUGGACUUCGUUUCCUGCCUUUCAGCUGGGUCGACGAAGUUGAUGAACACCUCCUAUCCAUCCCUGUAUUUUUAUUCUUAAAUACCAUCUAAUAAAGCUUUAACUCUA